GAUGAACGCUGGCGGCGUGCCUAAUACAUGCAAGUCGAGCGAACAGAUAAGGAGCUUGCUCCUUUGACGUUAGCGGCGGACGGGUGAGUAACACGUGGGUAACCUACCUAUAAGACUGGAAUAACUCCGGGAAACCGGGGCUAAUGCCGGAUAACAUUUAGAACCGCAUGGUUCUAAAGUGAAAGAUGGUUUUGCUAUCACUUAUAGAUGGACCCGCGCCGUAUUAGCUAGUUGGUAAGGUAACGGCUUACCAAGGCAACGAUACGUAGCCGACCUGGGAGGGUGCUCGGCCACCCUGGAACUGAGACACGGUCCAGACUCCUACGGGAGGCAGCAGUAGGGAAUCUUCCGCAAUGGGCGAAAGCCUGACGGAGCAACGCCGCGUGAGUGAUGAAGGUCUUCGGAUCGUAAAACUCUGUUAUUAGGGAAGAACAAAUGUGUAAGUAACUGUGCACGUCUUGACGGUACCUAAUCAGAAAGCCACGGCUAACUACGUG
RNAcentral lists this ribosomal RNA (497 nucleotides) under uncultured bacterium. RNAcentral's name for it is "partial 16S ribosomal RNA". It matches the Rfam family "Bacterial small subunit ribosomal RNA", at positions 28 to 507 of the family's 1533-position model. The record is from RNAcentral.